CACAUCCAUCUUCCAUCCAUCCAAUCCCUAGUGUGUCUUGCCUUACCGUUCCGUCCAUUCCAUUAAUGAUCGUGGCGCCUUCCAGCCGGGAUUACCGCGUCGCACACAGUGGAUUUCCCACUGCGCCCGGUUAUAUCAGCUGUUUUGGUAAACCCCUCCCGCAUCUGAACUGGCUGACACAGAGGGCACAGAAUGAUCAUAGGUGAGAGGUCACUUGGUCGGGUCAAAAGGAAGUAUUAUUAAAGAGAUGCAUUACAUUGAAAUACAGAUAGAGAUUUAGUAGUCCCAGAGUUAAUGAUCCAAGGUCAGUUUUGCAUUUCACCUCCUGAUGAUUAUGAUGCUCUCUCCCUAUCCAUCUGUCUCUUGUCUGCUGGUAUGUUUUGAUGUGAGAGAGGAAGCCAGUCCCGUCAUCGCCACCUCACCCACUCUUAAGAUAACCUUCGGGCCAACUGGGGGCCCAAAGCUGGUUAGGAGACACCCUAGAGACACUGUAAUUGUGAUGAACUGAGAGAAUAUUAGGGUAGCAAUGUAAUUCAUUAAUCACAUGCUGUCUGCCUCACUUCUUACCUCUUGCCCUUUCUGUCUUCUACACCUCUCUCCCCACCUCGUCUUUCUCCCUCGUUUUACAAUGCACAACAUAUGUGCAGUGAAGUACAGAUUGAACUUGUAUUUAUAAUAUAAUAUUACAAUUAUCAGAAUUAUAAUGCAUGUAUUAUGUAUUUAUAACACCUGAGUAAUGAACUUCUUUAAAUAAAGCG
This 758-nucleotide long non-coding RNA is filed under the name Salmo salar (Atlantic salmon). RNAcentral describes it as "lncRNA (ENSSSAG00000086328.1, ENSSSAG00020013833.1, ENSSSAG00075004664.1)". Lineage: Eukaryota; Metazoa; Chordata; Actinopteri; Salmoniformes; Salmonidae. The record is from RNAcentral.